RNAcentral lists this ribosomal RNA (245 nucleotides) under uncultured bacterium. RNAcentral describes it as "partial 16S ribosomal RNA". It matches the Rfam family "Bacterial small subunit ribosomal RNA", at positions 524 to 768 of the family's 1533-position model. The record is from RNAcentral.
UACAGAGGUGGCGAGCGUUGUUCGGAUUUACUGGGCGUAAAGGGUGCGUAGGUGGCUGCCUGUGUCGGAUGUGAAAUCCCUCGGCUCAACUGAGGAAUGGCAUUCGAAACUGGGUAGCUGGAGUGCAGGAUGGGAGAGCGGAAUUCUUGGUGUAGCGGUGAAAUGCGUUGAUAUCAAGAAGAACACCGGUGGCGAAGGCGGCUCUCUGGAAUGCAACUGACACUGAGGCACGAAAGCUGGGGGAG